RNAcentral lists this ribosomal RNA (490 nucleotides) under uncultured bacterium. RNAcentral's name for it is "partial 16S ribosomal RNA". It matches the Rfam family "Bacterial small subunit ribosomal RNA", at positions 30 to 507 of the family's 1533-position model. The record is from RNAcentral.
AUUGAACGCUGGCGGCAGGCCUAACACAUGCAAGUCGAACGGUAACAGGAAGAAGCUUGCUUCUUUGCUGACGAGUGGCGGACGGGUGAGUAAUGUCUGGGAAACUGCCUGAUGGAGGGGGAUAACUACUGGAAACGGUAGCUAAUACCGCAUAACGUCGCAAGACCAAAGAGGGGGACCUUCGGGCCUCUUGCCAUCGGAUGUGCCCAGAUGGGAUUAGCUAGUAGGUGGGGUAACGGCUCACCUAGGCGACGAUCCCUAGCUGGUCUGAGAGGAUGACCAGCCACACUGGAACUGAGACACGGUCCAGACUCCUACGGGAGGCAGCAGUGGGGAAUAUUGCACAAUGGGCGCAAGCCUGAUGCAGCCAUGCCGCGUGUAUGAAGAAGGCCUUCGGGUUGUAAAGUACUUUCAGCGGGGAGGAAGGGAGUAAAGUUAAUACCUUUGCACAUUGACGUUACCCGCAGAAGAAGCACCGGCUAACUCCGUG